GGAAGGUCGUAACGUAAUUAUUGCUAGUUUCUGUCCUCAAGUAUUUGGACUAUAUGUAGUUAAGCUUUGUAUAUGCUUAGCUCUCGUUGGAGGGGUCCAGUAUGUUGAUGAGUCUGGCACUCGUGUUAGAGGUGACUGUCACUUACUACUAGUGGGAGAUCCAGGCACUGGAAAAUCUCAGUUUCUCAAGUUUGCUUCAAGUCUCAGUCCUCGUUCUGUA
Long non-coding RNA from Amphimedon queenslandica, 220 nucleotides. RefSeq lists it as uncharacterized. The record is from RefSeq and is a predicted model, not a curated record. NCBI's taxonomy places the organism in Eukaryota, Metazoa, Porifera, Demospongiae, Haplosclerida, Niphatidae. The transcript is spliced from 3 exons.